This 468-nucleotide ribosomal RNA is filed under the name uncultured bacterium. RNAcentral describes it as "partial 16S ribosomal RNA". It matches the Rfam family "Bacterial small subunit ribosomal RNA", at positions 28 to 507 of the family's 1533-position model. The record is from RNAcentral.
GACGAACGCCGGCGGCGUGCUUAACACAUGCAAGUCGAACGGAAAGGCCCUGCUUUUGUGGGGUGCUCGAGUGGCGAACGGGUGAGUAACACGUGAGUAACCUGCCCUUGACUUUGGGAUAACUUCAGGAAACUGGGGCUAAUACCGGAUAGGAGCCCCUGCUGCAUGGUGGGAGUUGGAAAGUUUCGGCGGUUGGGGAUGGACUCGCGGCUUAUCAGCUUGUUGGUGGGGUAGUGGCUUACCAAGGCUUUGACGGGUAGCCGGCCUGAGAGGGUGACCGGCCACAUUGGGACUGAGAUACGGCCCAGACUCCUACGGGAGGCAGCAGUGGGGAAUAUUGCACAAUGGGCGGAAGCCUGAUGCAGCAACGCCGCGUGCGGGAUGACGGCCUUCGGGUUGUAAACCGCUUUCGCCUGUGACGAAGCGUGAGUGACGGUAAUGGGUAAAGAAGCACCGGCUAACUACGUG